GUUCCCAGGGAUUUAGUCUGGGGGGACAACCCAUGGCGAGAUGUGGUGGCAUUUUACCUCAGAGUGGAGCUGAAGAUGGAUAAACAAGGGCACCGAGGAAGAGAACCAAUGGCAGAGGCCACAUGUGCAAGCAAGAUGGGAGUCUGGAGAGCCUCAGGCUAAAUCACGAGUGCUCAGCCCUCUCCUCUUUGUAAGGGCAACCGGGUCAUAUCUGCCAGCAUAGAACUGCUCUGUCCACAGCCCUAAAAUCUAAUACCUAGAACAAUAAAUGCACUUAAGCACGUCAAACUCUCUCAACCAGUGAUGAAAUCUGUCACUAGCGAAGGGACUUGUCCCAAGGGAGCUGAACACCUGCCGCUGCACCCUGACAAUGUAUAAGAAACAAGCACCACUGUGGAUGCAGCCCCAGAGGCCUAGUGUCAUGGGGGUGCAAGGCCCUGCUUCAGGCUGGGGGCCUGGGGAGGGGCUGGUACCUCUCUACCUCCUGCAGCUCCUGUUCCUCUGGCUCCUGGUGAAAAUCUGGGUCUGAACCCAUAGCAAGUGAGGGCCACAAGGCUUCACCUUCUGAGAUGCAGCUAGAAGAAACAGCUGGUAUAAUAUAUGGUCAUGCACUACCUAACUACGUUUCCUCAACAUGGGACUGCAUAUAUGACAAUGGUCUGUCCCGUGAGAUUAUAAUAAAGCUGAAAAAUUUCUAUCACCCAGUCAUAUCAUAGCCAUAGUAAUGUCAAGGCCCAAGGUAUUGUGUGUCUGUGGUGAUGCCGGUGUAAACAAACUUGCCACACUGCCAGUCAUAUGAAUAGAGCACAAACAAUUAUGUAAUAUAUAGUACUUGAUCAAAAUACACAACUAUAUUUCUGGUUUAUGUAUUUACUAUACUAUACUUUUAAUCAUUAUUUUAGAGUGUACUCCUUCUGCAUCUAUGUGUCAACUGCAAAACAACCUCAGGCAGGUCCUUCAGGAGGUAUUCCAGAGGAAGGCAAUGUAAUCACAGAUGACAGCUCUAUGCAGGUUAUCACCCCUGAAGACCUUCUACUGGGACAAGAUGUGGAGGUAGAAGACAGUAAUAUUGAUGAUCCUGACCCUGUGUAAGCCUAGGCUAAUGCAUAUGUGUGCUGUGUCUUAGUUUUUACCAAAAAGUUUAAAAAGUAAAAUAAAAAUAGGAAAUAGCUUAUGGAAUAAGGAUAUAAAGAAACCAUUUUUGUACAGCUGUACAUGUGUUUGUGUUUUCAGCUGUGUUAUUACAAAAAGGUCAAACUUUAAAAAUAAACAAGUUUAUAAAGUAAAAAGAUUUCAGUAAAGUACAGUAAGGUUAAUUUAUGGUUGAAGAAAAACAUUUUAAAAAUAAAUUUAGUGUAGCCUAAGUGUCCAGUGUUUCUAAAGUCUACAGUAGCGUGCAGUCAUGUCCUAGGCCUUCACGUUCACUCACCACUCACUCACUGACUCACCCAGAGCAAAUUCCUGUCCUGCAAGCUCCAUUCAUGUUGGAAAACUUUAAUAUGAGAUUGAAGAUAUGAUUUGCUUUCUGGAUUGUUGUAUGCUACUAAAACCGAAGAAAGAGAAGGAAAAAUGGAUGAAUCGACGGACCAUAUCACCCUGGCACCUAUAUCAGCUCAAAAACUGAAGGAAAUACCCCUUUCCUGCCCUCUCUUUGACUAAUGCUAUAGACUCUGAGUCAGUAGUUCCUGGUGGGACCUGAGAGUCCACAUUCCUGAUGAGCUCCAGGUGUUCCCAUGCUGCUGCCCCUCUGACCACACUUAGAAUAAGAAGGCUUGAAAUGAAAUCUGAGAAAUCAGCCUCUUGAUUCCAAUUUUAAACAUGCAAUUGAUUCUUGUAAUUUUUCAUUCUUGUCAAAAUGCAUACCAGUAAGUUUGUAAUCAGUAUUGGCAUGCUUAAAAGAAUUUAAGACUUGUUAUAUUUGUCAUUUUAAUUUAUUUAAACUUUAAAGAUUUGUUCAGAACUUGGAAAGAUUUUGCUUAAGCUCAUAAAUUUACCCACUCAGGCAUAUGAGAUAGGGUACUUUGAUUUAUAAAUGAAGUUUAAAAUUAAGGGAAUUUAAUUAAGUUUUCAAAAUGAGAUUGGUUGUUUUAAGGGGAAUUUACUUUGUGUAACUUGAGUUCAUCAAACGCUAAUCCAAGUUCCCUGCAAAACCUGUUCUGUUU
Molecule: long non-coding RNA, 2162 nt
Organism: Homo sapiens (human)
Lineage: Eukaryota; Metazoa; Chordata; Mammalia; Primates; Hominidae
Gene: CASC15
Product: cancer susceptibility 15
Source: Ensembl